Molecule: long non-coding RNA, 154 nt
Organism: Thalassophryne amazonica
Lineage: Eukaryota; Metazoa; Chordata; Actinopteri; Batrachoidiformes; Batrachoididae
Exons: 2
Source: RefSeq, a predicted model, not a curated record
AAAGAAGUUCCAGAGUAUUUAAGGGGCUGAAAAAGCAGGCUGUGAUGGAAAUCCUGCACAUAAUUGAACUGAGUUCAUCCAAUGAGCCAUUUUUUGAGUGAGGAUUACACAAAAUGUAUGCAAUUUCAGUCCAGUUCCUUUAAUUUAGAGAAAA